This 436-nucleotide ribosomal RNA is filed under the name uncultured Bacteroidales bacterium. RNAcentral's name for it is "bacterial SSU rRNA". It matches the Rfam family "Bacterial small subunit ribosomal RNA", at positions 28 to 463 of the family's 1533-position model. Lineage: Bacteria; Pseudomonadati; Bacteroidota; Bacteroidia; Bacteroidales. The record is from RNAcentral.
GAUGAACGCUAGCGAUAGGCCUAACACAUGCAAGUCGAGGGGCAUCACGUCUUCGGAUGGUGGCGACCGGCGCACGGGUGAGUAACACGUAUGCAACCUGCCUUUAACAGGGGGAUAGCCCUAAGAAAUUGGGAUUAAUACCGCAUAAAACAGGGAUACCGCAUGGUAUUAUUAGUUAAAGAUUUAUCGGUUAAAGAUGGGCAUGCGCUGGAUUAGAUAGUUGGUAAGGUAACGGCUUACCAAGUCGGCGAUCCAUAGGGGAACUGAGAGGUUAGUCCCCCACACUGGUACUGAGACAGGGACCAGACUCCUACGGGAGGCAGCAGUGAGGAAUAUUGGUCAAUGGUCGAGAGACUGAACCAGCCAAAUCGCGUGAAGGAAGACGGUAUUAUGUAUUGUAAACUUCUUUUGAGAGGGAAUAAAGUGCGGGACGUGU